RNAcentral lists this ribosomal RNA (300 nucleotides) under uncultured archaeon. RNAcentral describes it as "bacterial SSU rRNA". It matches the Rfam family "Bacterial small subunit ribosomal RNA", at positions 496 to 795 of the family's 1533-position model. The record is from RNAcentral.
GUUAAUUCGGGGAGAGGAGGGGAGUGAAGACAGAGGGUUGAGUCUUUAAUCGGAAUGAGUGGGCUUAGAGCGCUCGUAGGUGGUUUGUUAAGUUGGAUGUGAAAGCCCCGGGCGCAACCUGGGAACUGCAUUCAAAACUGACUGACUAGAGUAUGGUAGAGGGUGGUGGAAUUUCCUGUGUAGCGGUGAAAUGCGUAGAGAUCUGGAGGAAUACCGGUGGCGAAGGCGGCCCCCUGGACAAAGACUGACGCUCAUGCACGAAAGCGUGGGGAGCAAACAGGAUUAGAUACCCCGGUAGUC